CUACUCCUCUAUUGUCAAAGGAGAGGGGCACAUCCAAAUAUCUUCUCUGGAUUUACACCAUUUCACACACCUCUGCACUGAUUCACAGUGAGCUUCUCCCCUUC
Chelonia mydas (Green sea turtle) is the source of this 104-nucleotide long non-coding RNA. RefSeq lists it as uncharacterized. NCBI's taxonomy places the organism in Eukaryota, Metazoa, Chordata, Testudines, Cheloniidae. The transcript is spliced from 3 exons. The record is from RefSeq and is a predicted model, not a curated record.